CCUACGGGUGGCUGCAGUAGGGAAUCUUCCACAAUGGACGAAAGUCUGAUGGAGCAACGCCGCGUGUGUGAUGAAGGGUUUCGGCUCGUAAAACACUGUUGUAAGAGAAGAAUGACAUUGAGAGUAACUGUUCAGUGUGUGACGGUAUCUUACCAGAAGGGAACGGCUAAAUACGUGCCAGCAGCCGCGGUAAUACGUAUGUUCCAAGCGUUUUCCGGAUUUAUUGGGCGUAAAGCGAGAGCAGACGGUUAUUUAAGUCUGAAAUGAAAGUCAACAGCUUAACUGUGGAAGUGCUUUGGACACUGGAUAACUUGGGUGCAGUAGAGGAGAUUGGAACGCCAUGUGUAGCGGUGAAAUGCGUAGAUAUAUGUAAGAGCACCAGUGGCGAAGGCGGCUCUCUGGACUGUAACUGACGUUGAGGCUCGAAAGCGUGGGUAGCAAACAGGAUUAGAUACCCGGCUAGUC
RNAcentral lists this ribosomal RNA (465 nucleotides) under uncultured Weissella sp. RNAcentral's name for it is "bacterial SSU rRNA". It matches the Rfam family "Bacterial small subunit ribosomal RNA", at positions 338 to 795 of the family's 1533-position model. The record is from RNAcentral. Lineage: Bacteria; Bacillati; Bacillota; Bacilli; Lactobacillales; Lactobacillaceae.